GGAGGAGAUGAAGAAAAUAAUCCUAAGCAUAAAAUUAAAAGUUAAGAGUUGAAAAGAUCUAACAAAUGAGAUGCAAUCCAACAGACAAGAAUGUCAUAUAGAAAACUGAUCGGUCACCAUUUUUACUAUGUUUUCGUUGCUUAUCCGACAAGAAACCAAGGAUAUUGAGACACUGUGUACGUAUUAUGGUACCUUUAAAUUUAAUUUAUAUUCCCGUAAGUUAUUUAAGCAAUUUUGUUAAUUGUCAAUUUUAUUUUG
Molecule: long non-coding RNA, 258 nt
Filed under: Lathyrus oleraceus (garden pea)
Lineage: Eukaryota; Viridiplantae; Streptophyta; Magnoliopsida; Fabales; Fabaceae
Description: Pisum sativum (pea) long non-coding RNA (PSAT_LNC011798)
Source: RNAcentral